CUCCCUUCCGCCCGCGCUCCUGGCUUUCCCCCGCUCCCCAGCUCGCAGCUUCCACCACGUCGGCCGGCUCAGGACGGGGUUUCCACUGUAAAGUCUCCUGCCAGGGGUGUUGGAGCUCACCGGAUUUGUCCCCGGUGCCUUAUUUAGUUCACUUGGUGAGGUCAUGUUUUCCUGGUUGGUGUUGAUGCUAGUAGAUGUUCUUCAGUGUCUGGACAUUAAAAUCGUGGCCAUGCAGCACCAUAUGAGAGGUUUAAAAAAUAAAAUUAAAAAGAGAAAAGAACCCAGAGUUGAUCUCCGCACCAUGCCAUCACUGCUGCGGAUGAGGAAAUGGUGAUUUCAGGACUGUUUUUUCUGUCUCUUCAGUGCCUCUUUCAGUGAUCUGAGGUUAAAACCAGGAGGGAUAAUCAGUGGAGCCCUCUUUCUGCCAUCUUGCUUUACUCUUACACCCAAGAAUCAGAAUGCAGAACUUUUAAUAAGAAAAGCUUUCAGAACUCAGGAAGGACAAGGAAGACAUUCUGGUUCUCCAUGCUUAACAUUGGACUGUUUCUUCAACUUAGGUGCUUAGCACUGACUAAUCAGGGAUUAUCAUAGAUAAUUUGACUUGAACUAUGCUGUUCAUUCAAAUUCUUUAUCUAGACAAUUUAAGUACUAGCUGAUUUGGCAUGAAAAUCUGGCAAAGUAUUUUCUUGGUAUUCAAUUGAUUUUUAUUCUGCUUGAGUUAGCAGUUUUAUUAACCAGUCAGUCUCUUCAUUAAAGUUCUGGGAAUUCUUACCCAGUUCAAAUAAUGUAAUUCUAAAGUUCUCAAAAACCUGUAUUCAAGAGUGUUUCUCAGGGUCUUCUCCAUCCUUUCAUGAACCUCCUUAAAGAUACAAUAUUCCAGGAUUUUGCAGGCUUGUAAAGUUUUCAGAAACUGCCUCAGAAUUAAGCAAUUUACAGUGGAAAUGACUUUAAACUAUCAUAGUUAGACAUAAUUGGCAAGAUAAUUUUAUUAUUUACAGGUGUGUGCCACCACGCCUAGCCUCUAAAGUAAAUUUAAUAAAACUUUAUAAAUAAAUUUAUCAAAUGUUAUCUUUUAAUCCCAGAUUUUUGUGAACCUAUGCUGUGCAUUUUCCCCCAACUUUCUAUAUUUAUCUAGUUUUAUGUAGUUUUUUUUUUACUUCUUCAAUUUGAAAUCUUUAAGUAACUUCAAACU
This is a long non-coding RNA of Pongo pygmaeus (Bornean orangutan), 1192 nucleotides long. RefSeq lists it as uncharacterized. The transcript is spliced from 5 exons. The record is from RefSeq and is a predicted model, not a curated record. Lineage: Eukaryota; Metazoa; Chordata; Mammalia; Primates; Hominidae.